AUGCUAACAAAAUUUAGGGGAGGAUUCAUUCACCAGAAAAGUCUCAACAAACUCACAGAAAAUCCCUCAAAAGCUCUCGCUCUGAAAUCUUCAUCACCUUGUUUCAUCAUCUUCAUCAACGAAGAUCAACCACCUCAUUCUUCUGCAAGAAAUUUCGUGAAUCUUCAACAAAACCCCAAUCUACUUCAAUCUGGAACCGAAAACUGCAUCAUCCACGCUCAUCAUCACAACAACGUUACUUUGAAUUGA
Vicia faba (fava bean) is the source of this 249-nucleotide non-coding RNA. The record is from the annotation of a GenBank genome assembly. NCBI's taxonomy places the organism in Eukaryota, Viridiplantae, Streptophyta, Magnoliopsida, Fabales, Fabaceae.